AGUGAACGCUGGCGGUAGGCCUAACACAUGCAAGUCGAACGGCCGCACAGUAAGAGCUUGCUCUUACGGGUGGCGAGUGACGGACGGGUGAGGAAUACAUCGGAAUCUACUUUUUCGUGGGGGAUAACGUAGGGAAACUUACGCUAAUACCGCAUACGUCCUACGGGUGAAAGCAGGGGAUCUUCGGACCUUGCGCGAUUGAAUGAGCCGAUGUCGGAUUAGCUAGUUGGCGGGGUAAAGGCCCACCAAGGCGACGAUCCGUAGCUGGUCUGAGAGGAUGAUCAGCCACACUGGAACUGAGACACGGUCCAGACUCCUACGGGAGGCAGCAGUGGGGAAUAUUGGACAAUGGGCGCAAGCCUGAUCCAGCCAUACCGCGUGGGUGAAGAAGGCCUUCGGGUUGUAAAGCCCUUUUGUUGGGAAAGAAAAGCAGCAGGUUAAUACCCCGCUGUUCUGACGGUACCCAAAGAAUAAGCACCGGCUAACUUCGUG
RNAcentral lists this ribosomal RNA (492 nucleotides) under uncultured bacterium. Its description in RNAcentral is "partial 16S ribosomal RNA". It matches the Rfam family "Bacterial small subunit ribosomal RNA", at positions 29 to 507 of the family's 1533-position model. The record is from RNAcentral.